This 158-nucleotide long non-coding RNA is filed under the name Cavia porcellus (domestic guinea pig). RNAcentral's name for it is "lncRNA (ENSCPOG00000039765.1)". The record is from RNAcentral. Lineage: Eukaryota; Metazoa; Chordata; Mammalia; Rodentia; Caviidae.
CUCCUCCGGCAGCUCAGCAAGGCGCACAGCAGUGCUCGGGAGGCUCCCUCAAAGAGCUGACACUAUGGUGAAGCCCCUCGCCCUGAGCUCCUCAGACACCAUCUGGAAGGACACAGAGGACCAGCGGGACCUACCACACCGUUUGCCCUGAAUUCACC